This 436-nucleotide ribosomal RNA is filed under the name Blastocystis sp. subtype 1. RNAcentral's name for it is "SSU rRNA". It matches the Rfam family "Eukaryotic small subunit ribosomal RNA", at positions 505 to 951 of the family's 1831-position model. Lineage: Eukaryota; Bigyra; Opalinata; Blastocystidae. The record is from RNAcentral.
UGCAUUGGAUUGAGAACAAUGUACAACUCUUAUCGAUAAGCCAUUGGAGGGCAAGUCUGGUGCCAGCAGCCGCGGUAAUUCCAGCUCCAAUAGCGUAUAUUAACGUUGUUGCAGUUAAAAAGCUCGUAGUUGAAGUGUGGGUGAUGCUGGUUGAGAAACUUCGGUCUCUCGAAAGAACACCACCCCCUUCCAGUAUCCAGUAGUGGGUAUUCAGUUACUUACUAUUGUGUGUUGGUCGUUUACUGUGAGAAAAUUAGAGUGUUCAAAGCAGGCGUUUGCUUGAAUAGAUUAGCAUGGAAUAAUAAUUGAAGGCUUUCGUGUUCGAUUUGAUUGGUUUGUUCAUGGAAGCAAGGUUAAAAGGAACAGUUGGGGGUAUUCAUAUUCACUAGUUAGAGGUGAAAUUCUCGGAUUUAUGGAAGAUGAACAAGUGCGAAAG